Molecule: non-coding RNA, 69 nt
Organism: Rattus norvegicus (Norway rat)
Lineage: Eukaryota; Metazoa; Chordata; Mammalia; Rodentia; Muridae
Source: Rfam
GGGGAUUUAGCUCAGUGGUAGAGCGCUUGCCUAGCAAGCACAAAGCCCUGGGUUCGGUCCCCAGCUCUG